GAUCAUGGCUCAGGAUGAACGCUGGCGGCGUGCCUAAUACAUGCAAGUCGAGCGAACAGACAAGGAGCUUGCUCCUUUGACGUUAGCGGCGGACGGGUGAGUAACACGUGGGUAACCUACCUAUAAGACUGGGAUAACUUCGGGAAACCGGAGCUAAUACCGGAUAAUAUUUCGAACCGCAUGGUUCGAUAGUGAAAGAUGGUUUUGCUAUCACUUAUAGAUGGACCCGCGCCGUAUUAGCUAGUUGGUAAGGUAACGGCUUACCAAGGCGACGAUACGUAGCCGACCUGAGAGGGUGAUCGGCCACACUGGAACUGAGACACGGUCCAGACUCCUACGGGAGGCAGCAGUAGGGAAUCUUCCGCAAUGGGCGAAAGCCUGACGGAGCAACGCCGCGUGAGUGAUGAAGGUCUUCGGAUCGUAAAACUCUGUUAUUAGGGAAGAACAUACGUGUAAGUAACUAUGCACGUCUUGACGGUACCUAAUCAGAAAGCCACGGCUAACUACGUGCCAGCAGCCGCGGUAAUACGUAGGUGGCAAGCGUUAUCCGGAAUUAUUGGGCGUAAAGCGCGCGUAGGCGGUUUUUUAAGUCUGAUGUGAAAGCCCACGGCUCAACCGUGGAGGGUCAUUGGAAACUGGAAAACUUGAGUGCAGAAGAGGAAAGUGGAAUUCCAUGUGUAGCGGUGAAAUGCGCAGAGAUAUGGAGGAACACCAGUGGCGAAGGCGACUUUCUGGUCUGUAACUGACGCUGAUGUGCGAAAGCGUGGGGAUCAAACAGGAUUAGAUACCCUGGUAGUCCACGCCGUAAACGAUGAGUGCUAAGUGUUAGGGGGUUUCCGCCCCUUAGUGCUGCAGCUAACGCAUUAAGCACUCCGCCUGGGGAGUACGACCGCAAGGUUGAAACUCAAAGGAAUUGACGGGGACCCGCACAAGCGGUGGAGCAUGUGGUUUAAUUCGAAGCAACGCGAAGAACCUUACCAAAUCUUGACAUCCUUUGACAACUCUAGAGAUAGAGCCUUCCCCUUCGGGGGACAAAGUGACAGGUGGUGCAUGGUUGUCGUCAGCUCGUGUCGUGAGAUGUUGGGUUAAGUCCCGCAACGAGCGCAACCCUUAAGCUUAGUUGCCAUCAUUAAGUUGGGCACUCUAAGUUGACUGCCGGUGACAAACCGGAGGAAGGUGGGGAUGACGUCAAAUCAUCAUGCCCCUUAUGAUUUGGGCUACACACGUGCUACAAUGGACAAUACAAAGGGCAGCGAAACCGCGAGGUCAAGCAAAUCCCAUAAAGUUGUUCUCAGUUCGGAUUGUAGUCUGCAACUCGACUACAUGAAGCUGGAAUCGCUAGUAAUCGUAGAUCAGCAUGCUACGGUGAUACGUUCCCGGGUCUUGUACACACCGCCCGUCACACCACGAGAGUUUGUAACACCCGAAGCCGGUGGAGUAACCAUUUGGAGCUAGCCGUCGAAGGUGGGACAAAUGAUUGGGGUGAAGUCGUAACAAGGUAACCGUAGCGGA
This 1512-nucleotide ribosomal RNA is filed under the name Staphylococcus haemolyticus. Its description in RNAcentral is "bacterial SSU rRNA". It matches the Rfam family "Bacterial small subunit ribosomal RNA". The record is from RNAcentral. Lineage: Bacteria; Bacillati; Bacillota; Bacilli; Caryophanales; Staphylococcaceae.